Molecule: long non-coding RNA, 1374 nt
Organism: Pseudophryne corroboree (corroboree frog)
Lineage: Eukaryota; Metazoa; Chordata; Amphibia; Anura; Myobatrachidae
Exons: 5
Source: RefSeq, a predicted model, not a curated record
AGUGGAGUCGGCUGCCGCCGGGCUCCUGACCGGCAGGGGGCACAUUUCCUCCACUGUCUCCCGCUGCCUGAUCGCCGCUGCUCAGCGGCGGAACUUGCGGGGCCCACAGCCGGCAGCAGUGUAAUGAGUCACACUGACUCAUUACACGCUGCGCUGCAGGCCUUAACACAGGAGGAAGCCGCCGGACGUGAGCGCACAGCGCCAUCAAGUGAGAAGGGUGAGCUCAUCAUCACCCUUCAUCUCGGCACCGCGCUGCUGCAGCUUCCUCCAGACUCCUGGUCUCUGCCACCGCUGCAUGCUGGGAGAAGGGGGAGGAAGGAGAGACAGUCACGGCAGCAGUGUGUGUGGAGAGUGAGGACUGGGAGACAUCAGCUCAGCCGCAGUGAGGAGCCUUACAGGAGCCAGGAGGUGAAAAACGGAGGAGCUGUGUCAGUGGGAAGCUGCCUCCUGUAUAUACAGAGAGCUGGCUGCAGCUAGGGGAGCUCCAGAGCGCGGCUCCUCCCGGGCCCUUCCAGUUAAGCAAGCCAGCCGAGGGAAGUUCUCUGCUCCUCCGUCAGGCUGAUGAUAGCCAAAGGAUACCACAGGAGGUCCCUGUUCAUGUCCGAACCGUAGUCUAGUACCGCCCCAGUCGCACUGGCGGACUGAAGGUGGGAAUGAGUGGCAGAAGCAUGAAGGGGCCUAAAGCAGAGUUGAACAACAACGGACUCACUUCCAGGGGGACGCUGCAGGAGGAGGAAAUCCGUAUGGUGUUGGAGGGAGGAAUGGACACCGACAAAAAUUAAAGAGAUACAAAGUACCUGGUAGCUCAGUACAGAGUUAUUACUCCUGGUGAAGAGACGGUUUUACUGGGGCCCUUCUGUUGACAGGAAGUCCUCUUUAUAGCACAGAGUGUGCAAUGAUUGGAAGCUGCGGUCAGCUGAUGCAAAGAAGCUCCUGGAUUGGUCAGUGGAGCGUCAGCUGACAGAAACUAAGAUGGCAGCACCCAAGUCUGGCUUUGGAGGAAACUUUGGUUUAGGCCCAAACACCAGGAAGUGGAUCCUGAGACAGCGGGCAGCAGCAGCAAGUGCCAUGUAGUACUACUCACAGAGACAGCGGCAGUUGCUGGAAACUUCAUGUGGGCUCAGCAGACCUCUGCUUGAACUGGGAGCGAUGUGUGAAAGCAGCACGCCCAGACCUCAGUGCCAGUCUGGACAGAUUCCGCAAUGGUAAGAACACGUUUUUAAUACUCCGGAGCGUGACACCACCAGGGCAGUAUUGAAUUGUUCUGGUACUUACUGUAGGUAUCCACCACCGCAACUUGCAGCGAGUAGGAUACUUAAUUAUCGGGGUAAAACCUCUGUAUCUGUACUCAGGAGCUGAUGAACUUAUCGAGUU